UUUCAUUGUUCAUUAUACAACUAUUUUACUUACCAUUAAAAUCCAACUGAUAUAGUUUGAUAUUACAGAUAUGAAUUCCAGGAAUUCGUUAAACAGUUUAUAAUCUAUUCAAAUUAACAAGAAAAACAUAUGUUCCCAUGCAUGUAGAAACUCAGUGGAGAUAAAACUACAUUUGCAAAUGAGGCAGAGCACCAAUGAAGUGAUUAUUGGGCAUGUGUUGUGUGGUCUAAUAUAGGAAGUACAUUAGUUGUACGAGUGAUAAUGCGAUUUAUUGCAUGUAAAUUUAUCAUCAAAUUUGAAAGAUAUUGUACAUUUAUUUUGGAGAUCGAUAUAUCAUUGUUUGAUUUCAGUCUUUUGUUUUUACCUUUUCAAAUAGUUGGUCUGCUUCUCUAUAUUUUCUCAUUGCCUCCAGGCAAAAGGUCAGUUUUCUUUUUUGUCAUUAAAAUGUUCUUAGAUUCUGGUUAUAUGUGUUUGGUUUUUUGCUAUUGUAUCUUUUGAAGUUUGCUUAAUUGUAUAUUUGUUUGCAUCUGGUUUUACUUGGUUGGUCUAUAGGUGGCUUGGUUGUAUCUUCCCCCUUCCUUUUUAUCAAUUUAUUGCUUGGCAAUGUUAAUUUGUAACUGCAUUGCGCAAAAAAACGAGGACUAGUAAGAGAGUGGAUGAUACAAGAAAGACAUAAUAUCCUGCCUUAAUUGGUGCACAAGUGUGUAAUGACAAUAUUUAUCAUGCUAACAAUGUGGAAAUCAACCUGCAUUAUUAGCUUUUACUACCCUCAUGUAAAUUUGUAAUCAGUCAUUGAUUUCUGUUCUUUUAUGCACAGUUUUGGGUUUGUGGUGUUGUGUUGAUUGAUGCUAUUGGGGCUGGAGAAUGUUAAAAUCCCAUGUUGGAAGCUUAACUAAAUGAAAUACAAAAAGAAAUGAAUGUUGGCAAUGUUAAUUAGUAGUGAACCGCUAGACCGCCUCUAGAAUGAUGGCUGGCUGGCUAGCCCCACCAAUUUUGUGUUUCCAUCUAAUUUGGUGUAUAUCUUUGGCAGAUGGAUUGGGGAGAUGCCGAUUGCUAGCAGAUGGAACAAUUGCUUCUUGGGCUCUUCUAACUAACUGACAUUCAGUAUCAUCUCACAACGACGAAAUCGCGCAGGGCUUCGUUGAUUUCUGUCAACUCCGACCUCGACCAGCAUCGGGUAACCUAUUGACCACCCCCUCUCCAUCUUCUUUUUCUUCUUCCGCUUCUCCCUGUGCAUUCCAGUUUGACUGUCUAUGAUCGAAAAGAACAUCUGCUGCUCCACGAAAGAUUCGGUUUUUGCCUGAUCAUUGUCAAACGCUGUAGCAACUAUCUAAAGCAUUUUGCCUUUUGAAAAGCAGCUGCAGGGAAAGUAUGAGAAAUUCAAACAUCAUCCUGCAAUCAAAACACCGCUGGAUGGUGGAACUGUUCCCUAUAAGUAUGCUGUCAGCACUGAAUGAAAUGUUUAUUGAAGAGUUAAGGCAUGAGGCUUUAAGAACAGGGUUUCUCAUAGCUCGAGUUCUCAUUGUUGUCAAUCAUAGUGAUUUCAUGCCGAAGCAGAUAUCGUUAAAAGAGCUCUAAGUCACCCUCUGAAAUUAAUUGCCAAAUGUGAUGUUGUAAAUGGAAGCAUUGUGCUUUCAAGUGACAACCCCAACUAUGGAUGCAUGUUGCCACUGGAAACUAUGAAAAUUUAAUAGUUGCUGGGAUCACUGAUCCAACUAAAGUGGGUUUCUUUAUCAAGUACUUCAUGAAUAGAAUAUUUCGGAGAUCCAAUCGCUGGGACAGAUUGAAGAAGGUUGAGAAUGGGAAAGCUUUGCUGGAGGUGGAGGUGAGAAUUUUAAUUUAAUUCAUGGUAUAUUGUUGUUGUUGUUUUUUUUUUUUUUACUUUAUUUUUGUGGGAUUGUGCUGUUUUUGGGGAAAACAAUAUUAAAUUGAAGUAAAGUUUAGAUAUUUCUGUAAUUGGAUCUUAAUUCGUUGACUGGUAUGCAACUAUGAAUUUUUCUAGAUGCUAGCAAAUCUAUAGACCGAGAGAAAGCAAAGUCGUUUCC
Molecule: non-coding RNA, 2045 nt
Organism: Malus domestica (apple)
Lineage: Eukaryota; Viridiplantae; Streptophyta; Magnoliopsida; Rosales; Rosaceae
Source: RefSeq, a predicted model, not a curated record